RNAcentral lists this ribosomal RNA (460 nucleotides) under uncultured bacterium. RNAcentral describes it as "partial 16S ribosomal RNA". It matches the Rfam family "Bacterial small subunit ribosomal RNA", at positions 338 to 795 of the family's 1533-position model. The record is from RNAcentral.
CCUACGGGAGGCAGCAGUGAGGAAUAUUGGUCAAUGGACGAGAGUCUGAACCAGCCAAGUAGCGUGAAUGAUGACUGCCCUAUGGGUUGUAAACUUCUUUUAUAUGGGAGUAAAAUGUUCGACGUGUGGAAUGGUGUAUGUACCAUAAGAAUAAGGAUCGGCUAACUCCGGACCAGCAGCCGCGGUAAUACGGAGGGUCCGAGCGUUAUCCGGAUUUAGUGGGUUUAAAGGGAGCGUAGGUGGAUUGUUAAGUCAGUUGUGAAAGUUUGCGGCUCAACCGUAAAAUUGCAGUUGAAACGGGGAGUCUUGAGUACAGUAGAGGUGGGCGGAAUUCGUGGUGUAGCGGUGAAAUGCUUAGAUAUCACGAAGAACUCCGAUUGCGAAGGCAGUUCACUGGACUGCAACUGACGCUGAGGCUCGAAAGUGUGGGUAUCAAACAGGAUUAGAUACCCUUGUAGUC